This 699-nucleotide ribosomal RNA is filed under the name uncultured marine eukaryote. RNAcentral describes it as "SSU rRNA". It matches the Rfam family "Eukaryotic small subunit ribosomal RNA", at positions 618 to 1322 of the family's 1831-position model. The record is from RNAcentral.
GUUAGAACGCUCGUAGUCGGAUUUCGGGGCGGGUCGACCGGUCUGCCGAUGGGUACGCACUGGUCGACGCGUCCUUCCUUCCGGAGACCGUCUCACUCUUAACUGAGCGGAGGCGGGAGACGGAACGUUUACUUUGAAAAAAUCAGAGUGUUUCAAGCAGGCAGCUCGCUCUUGCAUGGAUUAGCAUGGGAUAAUGAAAUAGGACUUUGGUGCUAUUUUGUUGGUUUCGAACACCGAAGUAAUGAUGAGAAGGGACAGUCAGGGGCACUCGUAUUCCGCCGAGAGAGGUGAAAUUCUCAGACCAGCGGAAGACGAACCACUGCGAAAGCAUUUGCCAGGGAUGUUUUCACUGAUCAAGAACGAAAGUUAGGGGAUCGAAGACGAUCAGAUACCGUCGUAGUCUUAACCAUAAACCAUGCCGACUAGGGAUUGGGGGAUGUUCACUUAUUGACUCCCUCAGCACCUUACGGGAAACUAAAGUCUUUGGGUUCCGGGGGGAGUAUGGUCGCAAGGCUGAAACUUAAAGGAAUUGACGGAAGGGCACCACCAGGUGUGGAGCCUGCGGCUUAAUUUGACUCAACACGGGGAAACUUACCAGGUCCAGACAUUGUGAGGAUUGACAGAUUGAGAGCUCUUUCUUGAUUCGAUGGGUGGUGGUGCAUGGCCGUUCUUAGUUGGUGGAGUGAUUUGUCUGGUUAA